CAAACGGAGAGUUUGAUCCUGGCUCAGGAUGAACGCUGGCGGCGUGCCUAAUACAUGCAAGUCGAACGGAAGCGAUAAGCUUGCUUAUCAAAUCAGUGGCGAACGGGUGA
This 110-nucleotide ribosomal RNA is filed under the name Erysipelotrichia bacterium. Its description in RNAcentral is "partial 16S ribosomal RNA". It matches the Rfam family "Bacterial small subunit ribosomal RNA", at positions 1 to 109 of the family's 1533-position model. Lineage: Bacteria; Bacillati; Bacillota; Erysipelotrichia. The record is from RNAcentral.